UGACUCACUUAACAGCAAAACAGCAGUAGUUGUGUGCUGUUAGACCUUGCAGCCAGCCAUGUAGGGGCUUGCCUUGCAGAAUAAAGUGACUAAAGUGACUAGAGCAGCUGCACCACAGAU
Molecule: non-coding RNA, 120 nt
Organism: Ceratotherium simum simum (southern white rhinoceros)
Lineage: Eukaryota; Metazoa; Chordata; Mammalia; Perissodactyla; Rhinocerotidae
Source: RefSeq, a predicted model, not a curated record